RNAcentral lists this long non-coding RNA (316 nucleotides) under Pan troglodytes (chimpanzee). RNAcentral describes it as "long non-coding RNA NONPTRT006093". Lineage: Eukaryota; Metazoa; Chordata; Mammalia; Primates; Hominidae. The record is from RNAcentral.
AAGGGCCACAGCCUCGGAACUCACUCCCUUUUGAGCACUAGGGAGAGGCACAAGCAGGCCUCAGCAGGUCCCUGUUGGCCCUCAUGUCUCCCCUACAGCACUGUCCUCAAGAGUACCUUCCCUCUCAAGACAGAAGAGCAAAUCCAGGAGCUGAUGGAGGCAGGGGGCUGGCAUCUCAGCAGCAGCAAUGCAGACUUGCUCAACUACCGCUCACUGUUUAUGGAGGAUGAGGAGGGCCAGAGUGAGCCCUUUGUGCAAAAACUCUGGGAACAAUACAUGGAUGAGAAGGACGAGUACUUACGGCAGCUAAAGCAGG